CCAAGGCGCCCGCCGGAGGACCAACCAAAACUCUUUUUGUAUACCCCCUCGCGGGUUUUUUAUAAUCUGAGCCUUCUCGGCGCCUCUCGUAGGCGUUUCGAAAAUGAAUCAAAACUUUCAACAACGGAUCUCUUGGUUCUGGCAUCGAUGAAGAACGCAGCGAAAUGCGAUAAGUAAUGUGAAUUGCAGAAUUCAGUGAAUCAUCGAAUCUUUGAACGCACAUUGCGCCCGCCAGUAUUCUGGCGGGCAUGCCUGUCCGAGCGUCAUUUCAACCCUCGAACCCCUCCGGGGGGUCGGCGUUGGGGAUCGGCCCUGCCUCUGGCGGUGGCCGUCUCCGAAAUACAGUGGCGGUCUCGCCGCAGCCUCUCCUGCGCAGUAGUUUGCACACUCGCAUCGGGAGCGCGGCGCGUCCACAGCCGUUAAACACCCAACUUCUGAAAUGUG
Molecule: ribosomal RNA, 444 nt
Filed under: Trichoderma harzianum
Lineage: Eukaryota; Fungi; Ascomycota; Sordariomycetes; Hypocreales; Hypocreaceae
Description: eukaryotic LSU rRNA
Rfam family: 5.8S ribosomal RNA (bases 113-266)
Source: RNAcentral